RNAcentral lists this transfer RNA (82 nucleotides) under Rhipicephalus microplus (southern cattle tick). RNAcentral's name for it is "tRNA-Ser". It matches the Rfam family "tRNA". From Rfam's summary of the family: Transfer RNA (tRNA) molecules are approximately 80 nucleotides in length. Their secondary structure includes four short double-helical elements and three loops (D, anti-codon, and T loops). Lineage: Eukaryota; Metazoa; Arthropoda; Arachnida; Ixodida; Ixodidae. The record is from Rfam by way of RNAcentral.
GCAGUCGUGGCCGAGUGGUUAAGGCGAUGGACUCGAAAUCCAUUGGGGUUUCCCCGCACAGGUUCGAAUCCUGUCGGCUGUC